Molecule: long non-coding RNA, 2587 nt
Organism: Alexandromys fortis (reed vole)
Lineage: Eukaryota; Metazoa; Chordata; Mammalia; Rodentia; Cricetidae
Exons: 2
Source: RefSeq, a predicted model, not a curated record
GGGACAGGGUACCCAAGUGGCAGGACAAGCCAGCAGCAGAUCAUAACAGUUGGCAUGCUUCCAAGACUCCUUUUAAAAAGAGGAGAUUGAUUUAUAUUUAUUUUAUGUGUGUGCGUGUUUGCCUGCCUGCAUGCAUGUGUACCCAAUGCCUCCAGGGCAUUGGAUCCCUGGAACUGGAGUUACAGGCAGAUGUGAACUGCUGUGUGGAUGCUGAGAAUCAAACCCAGGUCCUCUGCAGAAGUAGCCGGUGCUCUUAACCUCUGAGCCAGCUCUAGCUCUAAGAGUCUUAAUACCUACUGACAACUUGUUCAGUGAAGGAGGUUUGCUCUCUUAAAAGAUGUCAUUUAAGGACCCAAGAUGACUCAGCAGUUAACACAGGCUGCUCUUCCAGAGAAUUUGGAUUUGAUCCCCAGCACCCACAUGGAGGUUAGCAGCUGUCUGUGACUCUAGUCCUAGGGUUCCGACAAUCUCUUCUGGUUUCCCUGGGCACUGCAUUCACAUGGUGCACAGACAUGCAGGCAGGCUAAACACCCAGACAUAUUUUUAAAAAAAGUCAUUUAAGAGGGCUAAACAAUUCUCGGCUUACUUAUUCCCCCACCCCUUAAAAGGGAAAAAGAACCCGUGUAUUCUGUUGACUGAGAUUUCUGUCCUGCCUGGUCCCGCAGUAGUUCAGCCCCAAAGAAACACACAGAAGUCUACAUGAAUUAUAAACUGGUUGACCUAUUAGCUCAGGCUAUUUCUACAUCUUAACCCAUAAUUCUUGUCUGUGUUAGUCAUGUGGCUUGGUACCUUUAUCAGUGAGGCAUUCUCAUCUUGCUUCUGUGUCUGGGUGACAACUACAAACUGAAUCUUUCCUCUUCCCAGAAUUCUCCUGUUCUCAUUGCCCCACCUCUACUUCCUGCCUCCCCCACUUCCCGCAUACUUCCUGCCUGGCUACUGCCCAAUCAGCAUUUUAUUAAACAAGUACAAGAAAUAAAUCUUUACAGGGUAAAACCAUUGUCCCACUGUGUUCUAAACAACUGGAUUCCCACUUCCUCUGGCCUUGUGACUUUUCCUUCUCCGUCCUCACUUCUCCUGAAAAUGGAUUUGUGCUGUAAUAUAUGCAGUCGAUACCAGAAGUUUUCCACUUGGGUCCAUGGAUUGAUGGCUAUCUGAUAACAUUCGAGACAACAUAUUGAAUUCUUUCAAGACAUAAAUGCAAGCAGACAAGAAGCACCCGGGCUCAGCUGACAGCUGUGGAAUCAGACCAGGAAGCAGCUGCACACUCCACCUGUGCUAGCCAGGCACAGCUGCACAGGGAGGCAGCUGGGGGCAGGACACAUGGUACCUGGUGCUCCAGAUGGGAGGACGGUGAAUCAUAUCCAGGACCCAGGACGAGAAGACCCCAAAGAUGCUGACAUCAGAAGGGACAGAGUCCAGUGACCUAAACACGACACCCACAGCCCUCAAGCCACAAGCACUGUGAUACCAGUGAGCGGGUUUGUGCCACACCCUGACACAGGGUCAGACGGCGAGGACUGUUCACGCCCUGCUAGGAACCUUGCCCCUUUACGAGUGCACAUUAAUUUCCAAGCUAAUUUCCCCUUUUGCUUUAUUUUUGCUGUUGUAGCUGAAGGGAUACCUCCCUGCCUGUGUUUCCUAGCUGAUAACUGGAUAUGUCUGAGUGAAAGUUAUUGCAUUUUUUUUUCCCGUUAUACUUUCCGCUACUCCAUCCAGAUUUUUUUAUCCCUUCUAAAAUUUUUCAGGUCAAUACAACUUGCAGCUUAUGACCACUGCAUCCCCUCUUCCUUUUUUACAGUCUUUCUUUUGGUUUUCUGCUUUGGGCCCACAUUUCAGGAGAGUGUGAAUUCCUAGGGGACUGAGCAGCAUUCUUGCCAGUCCUUGGCUUUCAAAAGAUUGCUCUGUGUGUCUGAAGUUGGUUCGGGGGGAUUUUUAUUGUAUGAAAGGAAUAUUCUACUCCCUCCCGCCAAUGCAUUAGGCUGAAAAAAAUACCUCCAGUGCCCAUUUUUUAAGUGGGUUGAUUAGAGGUAGUGAGAUCAUGAGAAAACACAGGCUUUCUGAGAUCUUUCCCCAUUAGACAGCAUCCCAGUACACCCUCCCUCUCCAGCUUUACCCCUGCAGUCCCCGCAGGCUCCCCUGGGAUAGGGAGGUCAUUCUUAUCUCUUUUCAGUCAAAAUGUGGACCCUGGACUAGCAGCUUUAGACUCACCAGGGAGCUUAUUAGAAGUGCAGACUCUCUGACGCCUUCAGACCUGGUGAAUCACAGUCUGUCACUGGACAAAACACCUGUGGUCACUUGAAUGAAAACGGCCCCAUAGGCUCUCAGGGACUGGGGCUACUGGGAGGCGUGCCCUUGUUGGGGAAAGUGUAUCACUUUCAUUGAGGACUUUGAGGUUUUGAGGUCUCCAAAGCUCAACCCAGGCUAGCCUGUCUCCUCUUGCUGUUGCCUGUGGAUCCAGACGUGGAACUUUUAGCUACCUCUCCAACACCAUGUCUGCCUGUGUGCCACCAUGCUUCCCACCAUGAUGAUAAUAAACUAAACUUCCAAAAUGUAAAUCAGCCCCGAUUAAAUGUUUUCCUUUAGAAGA